Molecule: long non-coding RNA, 519 nt
Organism: Hydractinia symbiolongicarpus
Lineage: Eukaryota; Metazoa; Cnidaria; Hydrozoa; Anthoathecata; Hydractiniidae
Exons: 4
Source: RefSeq, a predicted model, not a curated record
GAAAAUUUAUUCUGAACAUGAUGAUGAAUUCAUUUCUGGUAGUGCAACAACAGAGGAAGAUGUCAAGGAAUGUCUGGACAAGAUUCAUGAUUGCAUUCUUCAAACAGAAGUGAUAGAUAAUGGGGAAAAUGACAAAGAAAAAUGUGAUCAAGUAGUUGUUCGGAAAAAGACGGAAGUAUUGAACUAAAAUCUGACACCUGUGUAAAAGAUAAAGAUGAUGUGAAUGCAAAGUUUAUUGAUGUUGUUGAUGUAUAUGAACCCAAGAAUAGCGAUCCUGUUCGUUUAUAUAGUAAAAACGUAGGCGAAGGAAAAGAUUCAGUUGCUAUCAAUGGUCAGAAUGUUGAUUUGUGUGAAAAAUUAGAGGAGGAAGUAGAGGAAAAUAUUAAAUGCAAAGGUUUUAAUGGUGGUUAUAAGACAAAUGGUGCUACUGUUUACAUGCAAUUAGAAAAUAUGGGAGGGUAGAAAUAUUGUGUUCAUAAACUACAACUUUAAGAAAAUGUUGAAAACACAUCUAUUAUA